GAAUAUUGGACAAUGGGCGAAAGCCUGAUCCAGCCAUGCCGCGUGAGUGAUGAAGGCCUUCGGGUUGUAAAGCUCUUUUGGCGGGGACGAUAAUGACGGUACCCGCAGAAUAAGCCCCGGCUAACUUCGUGCCAGCAGCCGCGGUAAUACGAAGUUUUA
RNAcentral lists this ribosomal RNA (159 nucleotides) under uncultured bacterium. RNAcentral describes it as "partial 16S ribosomal RNA". It matches the Rfam family "Bacterial small subunit ribosomal RNA", at positions 359 to 533 of the family's 1533-position model. The record is from RNAcentral.